UUUCAAACUGGGACUUUAGAUCCCAGUGAUCUCAGGUUAGAGACAUAGUCAGGUGGGGAGUUUGGCUGGGGCGGUACGUCUGUGAAAAGAUAGCGCAGGCGUCCUAAGAUGAACUCAAUGAGAACAGAAAUCUCAUGUAGAACAAAAGGGUAAAAGUUCAUUUGAUUUUGAUUUUCAGUACGAAUACAAACCGUGAAAGCGUGGCCUAUCGAUCCUUUAUAAAAAUGUAUAAAUUCAAAGUUUGAAGUUAGAGGUGUCAGAAAAGUUACCACAGGGAUAACUGGCUUGUGGCUGCCAAGCGUUCAUAGCGACGUAGCUUUUUGAUCCUUCGAUGUCGGCUCUUCCUAUCCUUACGAAGCAGAAUUCGUAAAGCGUCGGAUUGUUCACCCGCUAACAGGGGAACUGAGCUUGGGUUUAGACCGUGUGAGACUAGGUUAGUUUUUACCCCUACUGGAUUAUCCAUGUAAAUACAUGUUAUCGCCAUA
RNAcentral lists this ribosomal RNA (485 nucleotides) under uncultured eukaryote. RNAcentral describes it as "eukaryotic LSU rRNA". It matches the Rfam family "Eukaryotic large subunit ribosomal RNA", at positions 2555 to 3000 of the family's 3401-position model. The record is from RNAcentral.